Molecule: unclassified non-coding RNA, 111 nt
Organism: Otolemur garnettii (small-eared galago)
Lineage: Eukaryota; Metazoa; Chordata; Mammalia; Primates; Galagidae
Rfam family: Y RNA
About the family: Y RNAs are components of the Ro ribonucleoprotein particle (Ro RNP), in association with Ro60 and La proteins. The Y RNAs and Ro60 and La proteins are well conserved, but the function of the Ro RNP is not known.
Source: Ensembl
GGCUGGUCCAAAGGUAGUGAGUUAUCUUAAACUGAACAUUCACAGUCAGUUACAGAUCCAACUCUUGGAUCUGCCCUUUCCCCCCUUCUUACUAUUGCACUUAAAUACAAA